This 843-nucleotide long non-coding RNA is filed under the name Capsicum annuum. RNAcentral's name for it is "long non-coding RNA (CANN_LNC010002)". The record is from RNAcentral. Lineage: Eukaryota; Viridiplantae; Streptophyta; Magnoliopsida; Solanales; Solanaceae.
UAGAUAUAAGUUGAAAAUGAGGAUGAGAUCAAUGUAUCUUUUAGAUUCUAAAAAAAUCAACUCAUAUGUAUCAGUUGUUUUACACAGAACAAUAUAUCAACUUUUUAAAAUACGUAAUGUAUCAGAGAUAUAUAUUGAGCAAUGUAUCAUAUGCUAAAUAUAUAUUUGUUUCUCUGAUAUCAAGGCAUGGAAAUUAAAUGUAUUUUCUAUGGCAUACUUAGCCAUAACCGAUAUAAGUGUAGUGUUGUCCUUAUAAAUCUGGUUCUCUUUAACAAUCUUAUUAUUGCAAUUCAUGAUUACAUUCUCAACCAACAAAUCGAUCAAACCCAAUGUCUCAACAUUAUGCGGAUCCAUAAUAUAUAAUGCAAGGAAAUCUGUCUCCAUACCUUCUAAACAAAUUAAUUCACCUAUAUCAACCUCAAAUAUUAUCUCACCUACUUCUUUAUCUAUUAUAGUGAUGCACAACAGAUAUAUCCCAAAGUCUGGCAUACUUUUUUCACCUCAAUAUAAAUCUUUAAUCCCAUAUCUUCAUGGAUCAUCAAUGGCAAUGCAUUACCUUCUACAAUGAAUUUGGCUUCAAUUUUUUUCUAGUUUCAUCAAUUUCAAGUUCAAUAGCUAUCAUAGAAAUUACACUCCGAUAUGAUACAUUUUUGUCAACCAUAAAGUUAUCACAUUUAUAUCCUUUGUAUAUGAUAUUUGAAAUCCAAAGUCCAGAAUGGCAUAAUAAAAUAGAGAUAUUUAUGGUGAUUUUAAACUUCAUUGAAAUUGAUUUGAUAAAUGAUGACGAAAGGAAUUGAAAAUUGGAGAAGAAAGAAAUUUAUAGGAAAUUCUCUUGCACUAUGG